Molecule: ribosomal RNA, 254 nt
Filed under: uncultured bacterium
Lineage: Bacteria
Description: partial 16S ribosomal RNA
Rfam family: Bacterial small subunit ribosomal RNA
Source: RNAcentral
CACGUAGGGUGCGAGCGUUGUCCGGAAUUAUUGGGCGUAAAGAGCUCGUAGGCGGUGUGUCGCGUCGAUCGUGAAAACUUGGGGCUUAACCCUGAGCUUGCGGUCGAUACGGGCAUCACUUGAGUUCGGCAGGGGAGACUGGAAUUCCUGGUGUAGCGGUGAAAUGCGCAGAUAUCAGGAGGAACACCGAUGGCGAAGGCAGCCCCCUGGGCCAAUACUGACGCUCAGGCACGAAAGCGUGGGGAGCAAACAGG